This 119-nucleotide ribosomal RNA is filed under the name Pteropus alecto (black flying fox). Lineage: Eukaryota; Metazoa; Chordata; Mammalia; Chiroptera; Pteropodidae. The record is from RNAcentral.
AUCUAUGGCCAUGCUACCCUGAACGUGCCUGAUCCUGUCUGAUCUUGGAAGCUAAGCAGGGUUGGGCCUGGUUAGUACUUUGAUGGGAAACCACCUAGGAAGACCAGGUGCUGUAGGCA